This 90-nucleotide transfer RNA is filed under the name Corynebacterium pseudotuberculosis CIP 52.97. RNAcentral describes it as "tRNA-fMet (CAT) (tRNA-fMet-CAT-1-1)". Lineage: Bacteria; Bacillati; Actinomycetota; Actinomycetes; Mycobacteriales; Corynebacteriaceae. The record is from RNAcentral.
GCGGGGUGGAGCAGCUCGGUAGCUCGCUGGGCUCAUAACCCAGAGGUCGUAGGCCUAGUGGGGCUGGCUCGGAAGGUGCUUCCUCUGUCG